This is a long non-coding RNA of Carcharodon carcharias (great white shark), 1047 nucleotides long. RefSeq lists it as uncharacterized. Lineage: Eukaryota; Metazoa; Chordata; Chondrichthyes; Lamniformes; Lamnidae. The transcript is spliced from 4 exons. The record is from RefSeq and is a predicted model, not a curated record.
CGCAAUCGCAGGUGCGUCUGUGCAGCAAACCUAGCUCAACCAGGGGUUAUAGUCUGGAGUGCACAAAAAAAAAAUGGCUUCAGUACCACCCCUUAAAUGAAGAUGGGAAAAAAAGACAGAUUUGUUUCACUCCUGAUUUCCGACUAAUGUUAGCUUUCGGAUCAUGUUACCGUCAACCUCAGCGCCUAAAGGCUAAAGCCCAACAACCAGGGACAGUCGGGACACUGACGAAAGGUGACCAACACUGCCAGCUUGGAAUCUCUGGUGGUGCUGAAUCAGGAGAUGCAACAAUGGAAAGGAAAGCGAAAGAUUGGCUCAAAUGUAAAAGAACACAAUGGACCCAAUAAGCAAUGGGAAAACAGAGUACCAUGUACACCUGGAGUGGCGGACUGCUCGCUCCCCCGGAAGGAAAGUCGGCCGGCAGCAUACACACCGGAAAGAAGCCCUGCUCACCCCGCAGCUAUAACACGCUGGGGACAGGCUAAACAAGGUGAAAAUAGGCAUAUGAUAAGCCAGCUGCUCUAGUAGUGCCAACAGUACCAGAGCUCAGGAAGGUGCAUGAAUGACAGCCACAGAAAACUGUCAAGAGCUCGGUCAACCAGUUUGGAGAUUCCUUGAUCAGAAAUGUUAUUUCCCCGGAGGCUGCAAGAUGUAAACGUACGAUUGGUUACACAACAUAAGCAAUAUAAACAAAAAGAACUGCAAGAAUCAAUAUAACUCCAUUUUAAUACAUUUGUUCCACUGUACAUUUUUUGACUGAAAAUUAUAGUAAUUAUAGUAAUUAAUAUUAGUAAUUACUAAUUAUAGUAAUGAUGUUCAAUCCACUGGUAGGAUAACUUAAAUCUAAUAUUGUUUUUCAAAAUGGUCACAUCAAGCAAGGUUGCUGGAAUAAGACUGAUCGAAGGUUUGACUGCUAAAUUGUCAGCAUCUUCAGGUAACAACUCAAAUUCUCUGCAGCCACAAGUAUCCAUGCUCAAGAAUGUUGUCCAUAUGGGAUGAAUAUCCCCAAAACAUAUUACUAAAAUAAAUUUGUUAUUUGAUUCUGUU